RNAcentral lists this ribosomal RNA (442 nucleotides) under Uroptychus naso. Its description in RNAcentral is "partial 16S ribosomal RNA". The stretch from base 312 to 442 matches the Rfam family "Bacterial large subunit ribosomal RNA", at positions 2473 to 2605 of the family's 2925-position model. Lineage: Eukaryota; Metazoa; Arthropoda; Malacostraca; Decapoda; Chirostylidae. The record is from RNAcentral.
UCAAUAGUCUUUUAAUUGAAGGCCAGAAUGAAUGGUUGAACGAGAAAUACACUGUCUCUUAUUAAAUAAAUUGAAAUUUACUUUUAAGUGAAAAGGCUUAAAUAUAUUUAAGGGACGAUAAGACCCUAUAAAUCUUUAUAUUAGUUAGUUAUAUAUUUUAUAAAUAUUUAUAUAAGUAAAAUAAAUAACAAACAAUAUUUUGUUGGGGUGAUAUAAAUAUAAUAAAUAACUAUUCUACUUUUAUUACAAUAAUAUUUGAUUAACAUCAAAAAGAUCCUUUAUUUAAGAUUCUAAGAAUAAGUUACUUUAGGGAUAACAGCGUUAUCUUUUUUGAGAGUCCUCAUCAAAAAAAAAAUUGCGACCUCGAUGUUGAAUUAAAAUAUCUUUAUGGUGCAGAAGCUAUAUAAGAAAGUCUGUUCGACUUUUAAAAUUUUACGUGAUC